GACGAACGCUGGCGGCGUGCCUAAUACAUGCAAGUCGAACGCUUCUUUCCUCCCGAGUGCUUGCACUCAAUUGGAAAGAGGAGUGGCGGACGGGUGAGUAACACGUGGGUAACCUACCCAUCAGAGGGGGAUAACACUUGGAAACAGGUGCUAAUACCGCAUAACAGUUUAUGCCGCAUGGCAUAAGAGUGAAAGGCGCUUUCGGGUGUCGCUGAUGGAUGGACCCGCGGUGCAUUAGCUAGUUGGUGAGGUAACGGCUCACCAAGGCCACGAUGCAUAGCCGACCUGAGAGGGUGAUCGGCCACACUGGGACUGAGACACGGCCCAGACUCCUACGGGAGGCAGCAGUAGGGAAUCUUCGGCAAUGGACGAAAGUCUGACCGAGCAACGCCGCGUGAGUGAAGAAGGUUUUCGGAUCGUAAAACUCUGUUGUUAGAGAAGAACAAGGACGUUAGUAACUGAACGUCCCCUGACGGUAUCUAACCAGAAAGCCACGGCUAACUACGUGCCAGCAGCCGCGGUAAUACGUAGGUGGCAAGCGUUGUCCGGAUUUAUUGGGCGUAAAGCGAGCGCAGGCGGUUUCUUAAGUCUGAUGUGAAAGCCCCCGGCUCAACCGGGGAGGGUCAUUGGAAGCUGGGAGACUUGAGUGCAGAAGAGGAGAGUGGAAUUCCAUGUGUAGCGGUGAAAUGCGUAGAUAUAUGGAGGAACACCAGUGGCGA
Molecule: ribosomal RNA, 719 nt
Filed under: uncultured Enterococcus sp.
Lineage: Bacteria; Bacillati; Bacillota; Bacilli; Lactobacillales; Enterococcaceae
Description: bacterial SSU rRNA
Rfam family: Bacterial small subunit ribosomal RNA
Source: RNAcentral